AUGACAUAUUACAAGUUUAUAAUCCCUCUAAAAUGUAUUUCCAUUUCUAUUCUAGGUCUCCUGACCACCACUGUUGCCCCAACAACAACCACCAACACCACACCACUUCCUACCCUUUUGACUUCAGUGACAUCAACAACUAGAUUCGGCACAGUGGGAGUUUUUGUUAAACUGAUAUUCAACGUCAAAACACCAGUCCCCACUGAGGAUCAUGUCCUUGAUGCCGUCAAGAAGCAAUUGUCUCCUCAAUUCACGACCACUCAAACCACCUUCCAGAAUGCAACUUAUAUCAGUGAGUUCAACAAAUAAGGCUUCAUGAAGACAUUUUUUUCCACUCUAUAAAAUAAUCUCUUAAUAAGUAAACAUUCAACUGCUCCUGCUAUCUAAAUACUUAUUGAAUGUUUUUUAAUGUUGUUGAAACUCCUAAAUUGUAGCAGUUAAUUUGAUCUGUUGCUAUAGUGACCAUUUUUUUGUGUGCUCACAGAACUUACAGAUACUUCAUUUGCCAUCGACCUUGGUUUCAAAAUAACCAAUGUAACCCAGGAGUCUCUAAGUAAUAGACUCACACUCACCAAUGAGACUGAAACCCAGAUACAGGAUUCAAUUAACAGACUAGUAAGAUACUGUACUUCUACACAUAAGAUACAUCCAUGGUCAUGUUCAGGUCAUGAUAGUAAUUGACAACUUGAUGUUUUGUCCCCUUUUAGCUCCAAAAGGUUCUCAGUGAACCAGAUGGCAAACAGUUUCAAUUUCCGAAAGCCAACCUCAUGUAAGUACAACGUCAUAACCUUGAACCAACCCGUCUUUCUCAACUGCACUCUUUAGAAUUUCUGCAGAUUUCAUUUAGUUGCUGCUGGUACAGCUAAACAGGAUGAAAGGAACAUGUUUAACUCUCACACAAAACCCAUUUUUACGUCCACAGUGAUGAUGGCACUGAGAUCACGGCAAACGUGACGUAUGUAUACAAAGAGGAAGAUGUCAACCUCCCUAGUGGUUUUCUACAGGAAGUCUUAAAAGUCUCAGGUAUGCUGCUUUUGUUACCAUACGGUUGUCAUUUCUAUGUUUAUUUAUGACAGUGAGUUAUUAAACACCAUGUAACGUGUAUAAUACUCAAUCUCGAAAACACUUAUAUAUCAAUGUUAUAUGACAUAUUACAAGUUUAUAAUCCCUCUAAAAUGUAUUUCCAUUUCUAUUCUAGGUCUCCUGACCACCACUGUUGCCCCAACAACAACCACCAACACCACACCACUUCCUACCCUUUUGACUUCAGUGACAUCAACAACUAGGUAAGCAAGAUCAUUUAUUAUAAUGUUUUCAUACAAUUCAAUUAACACUUUGUCAAACAAGGAACCUUUGCAACAAUGAACCAUGUAUAUCCAUGCUUGUGUCGUUAACUACUGAUGUUUUAAUUAAAAGCAUCCAAAAUGUCAACCUUUCUUUAGAAAAGCUCUUUGAGUGCAUCAAUUGGUCAAAAGGCUUAAUAUAAAUCCAAUCCAUU
Molecule: long non-coding RNA, 1498 nt
Organism: Oncorhynchus kisutch (coho salmon)
Lineage: Eukaryota; Metazoa; Chordata; Actinopteri; Salmoniformes; Salmonidae
Source: Ensembl